This 320-nucleotide ribosomal RNA is filed under the name uncultured Prevotella sp. RNAcentral describes it as "bacterial SSU rRNA". It matches the Rfam family "Bacterial small subunit ribosomal RNA", at positions 28 to 339 of the family's 1533-position model. The record is from RNAcentral. Lineage: Bacteria; Pseudomonadati; Bacteroidota; Bacteroidia; Bacteroidales; Prevotellaceae.
GAUGAACGCUAGCUACAGGCUUAACACAUGCAAGUCGAGGGGCAUCAUGGGAGUUGCUUGCAACUUCUGAUGGCGACCGGCGCACGGGUGAGUAACGCGUAUCCAACCUUCCCCCUAGUAGGGCAUAGCCCGGCGAAAGUCGGAUUAAUACCCUAUGUUAUCCGAAGCAGGCAUCUAAUUUGGAUUAAAGAUUUAUCGCUAAGGGAUGGGGAUGCGUCUGAUUAGGCAGUCGGCGGGGUAACGGCCCACCGAGCCAUCGAUCAGUAGGGGUUCUGAGAGGAAGGUCCCCCACAUUGGUACUGAGACACGGACCAAACUCC